GACGAAGGAUGCAAGCGUUAUCCGGAUUCAUUGGGUUUAAAGGGAGCGUAGGUGGUCUUAUAAGUCAGUGGUGAGAUCUCUGGGCUUAACCCAGAAAUUGCCAUUGAUACUGUAGGACUUGAGUAUAGUUGCCGUUGGCGGAAUAUGACAUGUAGUGGUGAAAUACAUAGAGAUGUCAUAGAACACCGAUUGCGAAGGCAGCUAACGAAACUAUAACUGACACUGAGGCUCGAAAGUGUGGGGAUCAAACAGG
This 253-nucleotide ribosomal RNA is filed under the name uncultured bacterium. Its description in RNAcentral is "partial 16S ribosomal RNA". It matches the Rfam family "Bacterial small subunit ribosomal RNA", at positions 524 to 776 of the family's 1533-position model. The record is from RNAcentral.